GAUGAACGCUGGCGGCGUGCCUAAUACAUGCAAGUCGAGCGAACAGACGAGGCGCUUGCUCCUCUGACGUUAGCGGCGGACGGGUGAGUAACACGUGGAUAACCUACCUAUCAGACUGGGAUCACUUCGGGAAACCGGAGCUAAUACCGGAUAAUCUCUUGAACCGCAUGGUUGAAUAGUGAAAUACGGUGUUGCUGUCACUUAUAGAUGGAUCUGGGCCGCAUUAGCUAGUUGGUAAGGUAACGGCUUACCAAGGCAACGAUGCGUAGCCGACCUGAGAGGGUGAUCGGCCACACUGGAACUGAGACACGGUCCAGACGCCUACGGGAGGCAGCAGUAGGGAAUCUUCCGCAAUGGGCGAAAGCCUGACGGAGCAACGCCGCGUGAGUGAUGAAGGUCUUCGGAUCGUAAAACUCGGUUAUUAGGGAAGAACAAAUGUGUAAGUAACUAUGCACGUCUUGACGGUACCUAAUCAGAAAGCAACGGCUAACUACGUG
Molecule: ribosomal RNA, 497 nt
Filed under: uncultured bacterium
Lineage: Bacteria
Description: partial 16S ribosomal RNA
Rfam family: Bacterial small subunit ribosomal RNA
Source: RNAcentral